CUACGUGCCAGCAGCCGCGGUAAUACGUAGGUCCCGAGCGUUGUCCGGAUUUAUUGGGCGUAAAGCGAGCGCAGGCGGUUUGAUAAGUCUGAAGUUAAAGGCUGUGGCUCAACCAUAGUUCGCUUUGGAAACUGUCAAACUUGAGUGCAGAAGGGGAGAGUGGAAUUCCAUGUGUAGCGGUGAAAUGCGUAGAUAUAUGGAGGAACACCGGUGGCGAAAGCGGCUCUCUGGUCUGUAACUGACGCUGAGGCUCGAAAGCGUGGGGAGCGAACAGGAUUAGAUACCCUGGUAGUCCACGCCGUAAACGAUGAGUGCUAGGUGUUGGAUCCUUUCCGGGAUUCAGUGCCGCAGCUAACGCAUUAAGCACUCCGCCUGGGGAGUACGACCGCAAGGUUGAAACUCAAAGGAAUUGACGGGGGCCCGCACAAGCGGUGGAGCAUGUGGUUUAAUUCGAAGCAACGCGAAGAACCUUACCAGGUCUUGACA
RNAcentral lists this ribosomal RNA (486 nucleotides) under uncultured bacterium. RNAcentral's name for it is "bacterial SSU rRNA". It matches the Rfam family "Bacterial small subunit ribosomal RNA", at positions 501 to 986 of the family's 1533-position model. The record is from RNAcentral.